RNAcentral lists this ribosomal RNA (390 nucleotides) under uncultured bacterium. Its description in RNAcentral is "bacterial SSU rRNA". It matches the Rfam family "Bacterial small subunit ribosomal RNA", at positions 28 to 420 of the family's 1533-position model. The record is from RNAcentral.
GACGAACGCUGGCGGCGUGCUUAACACAUGCAAGUCGAGCGGUAAGGCCCUUUCGGGGGUACACGAGCGGCGAACGGGUGAGUAACACGUGGGUGACCUGCCCUCAGCUCUGGGAUAAGCCUGGGAAACUGGGUCUAAUACCGGAUAUGACUCCAUGACGCAUGUCGUGGGGUGGAAAGCCUUGUGCGGCUGGGGAUGGGCCCGCGGCCUAUCAGCUUGUUGGUGGGGUGAUGGCCUACCAAGGCGACGACGGGUAGCCGGCCUGAGAGGCGACCGGCCACACUGGGACUGAGACACGGCCCAGACUCCUACGGGAGGCAGCAGUGGGGAAUCUUGCGCAAUGGGCGAAAGCCUGACGCAGCGACGCCGCGUGAGGGAUGACGGCCUGGU